GAUGAAGAACGCAGCGAAAUGCGAUAAGUAAUGUGAAUUGCAGAAUUCAGUGAAUCAUCGAAUCUUUGAACGCACAUUGCGCCCGGCAGUAAUCUGCCGGGCAUGCCUGUCCGGGCGUCAUUCCACCCCUCGAGCCGCUUUUAGUGGAUCGGUGUUGGGGCACUACGGUAAAACGUAGGCCCUGAAAUGAAGUGGCGGUCCCGCCGCGGUGCCCCCAUGCGUAGUAACGUUUAGUCUCGCAUCGGGUCCCGGCGGAGGCCUGCCGUCAAGCCUAUUUAUUCUCAGAAUAGUUUGACCUCGGAUCAGGUAGGGUUACCCGCUGAACUUAAGCAUAUCAAUAAGCGGAGGA
RNAcentral lists this unclassified non-coding RNA (349 nucleotides) under soil metagenome. RNAcentral describes it as "partial contains 5.8S ribosomal RNA, internal transcribed spacer 2, and large subunit ribosomal RNA". The stretch from base 1 to 120 matches the Rfam family "5.8S ribosomal RNA", at positions 35 to 154 of the family's 154-position model. The record is from RNAcentral.